Molecule: small RNA, 97 nt
Filed under: Arabidopsis thaliana (thale cress)
Lineage: Eukaryota; Viridiplantae; Streptophyta; Magnoliopsida; Brassicales; Brassicaceae
Description: ATSL031570
Source: RNAcentral
UAAUGUACUAGAUUUUAACCCGCGGUAUACCGUUUGGACAAUUUAUUUUUUUAAAUUAGUAUAUAUAAAAGUUCGCAAAUUAUAUCUAUCUAUAAUA